This 55-nucleotide ribosomal RNA is filed under the name Epidermophyton floccosum. Its description in RNAcentral is "partial 28S ribosomal RNA". Lineage: Eukaryota; Fungi; Ascomycota; Eurotiomycetes; Onygenales; Arthrodermataceae. The record is from RNAcentral.
AGGUGACCUCGGAUCAGUAGGGAUACCGCUGACUAGCAUAUCAAUAAGCGGAGAA